This 327-nucleotide ribosomal RNA is filed under the name uncultured eukaryote. RNAcentral describes it as "partial 18S ribosomal RNA". It matches the Rfam family "Eukaryotic small subunit ribosomal RNA", at positions 1470 to 1796 of the family's 1831-position model. The record is from RNAcentral.
CCCUUAGAUGUUCUAGGCCGCACACGCGCUACACUGAAGGAGGCAGCGUGUACUCCUGGAUCGAAAGAUUUGGGUAACCCGCGAAUCUCCUUCGUGCUAGGGAUUGAGGUUUGCAAUUAUCCUUCAUGAACGAGGAAUUCCCAGUAAGUGCAAGUCAUAAGCUUGCGCUGACUACGUCCCUGCCCUUUGUACACACCGCCCGUCGCUACUACCGAUUGAAUGAUUUAGUGAGGACUUCGGACUGGGACCGAUGCGGCUUUCGGGCUGCGUCGGUAUUCUGGAAAGAUGUCCAAACUGUAUCAUUUAGAGGAAGUAAAAGUCGUAACA